RNAcentral lists this long non-coding RNA (274 nucleotides) under Homo sapiens (human). RNAcentral's name for it is "non-protein coding lnc-ELAC2-5:1". Lineage: Eukaryota; Metazoa; Chordata; Mammalia; Primates; Hominidae. The record is from RNAcentral.
GCCGGGAGUGGUGGCAGGCACCUGUAGUCCCAGCUAUUCGGGAGGCUGAGGCAGGAGAAUGGCAUGAACCCAGGAGGUGGAGCUUGCAGUGAGCCGAGACUGCGACGGUGCACUCCAGCCUGGGUGACAGAGUGAGACUCCGUCUCAAAAAAAAAAAAAAUAUUUAUUUAUUUAUUUGAGACAGAGUUUCGCUCUUGUCACCCAGGCUGGAGUGCAAUGGUGCGAUCUCCACUCACUGCAACCUCUGCCUCCUGGGUUCAAGCAAUUCUCCUGC